AGCAGUGUGGCUCAGUGGAAAGAGCACGGGCUUGGAGUCCGCGGUCAUGGGUUCGAAUCUCGGCUCUGCCA
This 71-nucleotide transfer RNA is filed under the name Ornithorhynchus anatinus (platypus). It matches the Rfam family "tRNA". From Rfam's summary of the family: Transfer RNA (tRNA) molecules are approximately 80 nucleotides in length. Their secondary structure includes four short double-helical elements and three loops (D, anti-codon, and T loops). Further hydrogen bonds mediate the characteristic L-shaped molecular structure. tRNAs have two regions of fundamental functional importance: the anti-codon, which is responsible for specific mRNA codon recognition, and the 3' end, to which the tRNAs corresponding amino acid is attached (by aminoacyl-tRNA synthetases). tRNAs cope with the degeneracy of the genetic code in two manners: having more than one tRNA (with a specific anti-codon) for a particular amino acid; and 'wobble' base-pairing, i.e. permitting non-standard base-pairing at the 3rd anti-codon position. The record is from Rfam by way of RNAcentral. Lineage: Eukaryota; Metazoa; Chordata; Mammalia; Monotremata; Ornithorhynchidae.